Molecule: long non-coding RNA, 1597 nt
Organism: Beta vulgaris subsp. vulgaris (sugar beet)
Lineage: Eukaryota; Viridiplantae; Streptophyta; Magnoliopsida; Caryophyllales; Amaranthaceae
Exons: 3
Source: RefSeq, a predicted model, not a curated record
CUAUGUUUUUAUUCUUGCAAGUACAUAAUUGUUGUGACCAUUAUUUGUUGAUUAACACUAUCUCAUUAUUACUAAGCUGGAACGCUUUAACUUUCUGUAAUUUUCACCAACGGAGAACUAAAGAUGUUAAUGGUCUCGUUAAAAAAAAAAAAAAAAAGAUGCUAAUGGUCAAAGGUUCUACAUUGGCAAACAUAAAAGUCAAAACGUUGCAACUAAUGAAAACCGGGAAUUAUUACAAUCUCCAACUGCAAAAUGUUGCUUUUGUUCUACUUCCCAAGUACUCCUUUCUCUUUGUCUGCAUUUGUGCAAUACGGACUUUGCAGCCAUAGAUCCUCCGCUGUUUGAAUCUAUAGAAAAGUUCAAUAUGUGUGACUGUGAUGGAAUCUUUAUUUGUGUCUUGUCAAGCAUUCUGCACAAUACACAUUUGGCUAACUCUUCAUCUCUUGCAGUUUUCACUACCUUUACCCCAAGGUGGAAGAGAUGACAUAUCCAAGAAUCCCGUUUUAAGGGAAGACCAGCUCCCACAGAAGUUCUUGUACCCCAAUACAAAGAAGAAUCAAAUAAGGACGAUGAUUUUUGUGCUAUGGACAGCAUCUCCCUCAGUCACCAUGCUGAAAAGAAAGCUUCUCACAGGCUUCCUGUGAGACAAGCAUUAGUUGUCUUUAGUGGUAAAAGAAAUCCAACCAUUACUCUCGUGCAAAGCAUUGAGGUAUCGUUGCUGGAAAUGUUAGAUGUGGUAGGAAUAUCUUAUACUUUGUGCGGUUAUCUGUUUCUGACAUCUCCUUCGUGCAUUCACUACCUGUGUAUUGAGCUACAUUCGAAAUUGGUACCUUGUUUCUAAUUGUUAUUUAUAUGAUAUGUUAAGUAUUCUUGUUCAUUCUCUCGCUAUUUACAGAAUGAUUUACCAUAUUUUGUAUUACUUUGGCUUAACCAUUUGAAUAAGUAAGAGUAUUUAUAUUCAUUUAGAGAUCUGAUUUUUCAGACCAUCGCUCUCGUAUUCCUAACUCAUUCUUGAUGGAUGAUCAAGGAGAAUAUGUCAACAUAACACUAUAGUUAAGUUUGAUAUAAGAAAUAGCUGGAAUUAUGUGAUUUGGGUUAGCUGUGAAGUUCGCCACUGGUUUUUUCUUCCGAAUACCAUGGUGAAACUGGUUAUAUUGACUGAUGCUUCUUUUCUAUCAGUUGGAUUCAAUUAUGUACAUCAUUUCUUUCAAUGAGAGAGAGUUUGUAGUUUUCAUAAGAUUUUCCUUACUAAGAUUGUUUAUAUUGAUGGCAGACUAUUUCCUUGCUAAGAUUUUCCAUCCAAACAUUGCAAAUAAUGGUGAAAUUUGUGUUAACACUUUGAACAGGAGGUGGUGGAGAGGAAUAAGUAUAGUCGGCUAUGGUUUAUUUUGAGAUUAAUAAAUGGUGGGACUGUUUAUAGAAGAUCACCCAAAGGUUUGUUUGAGUUUGAUAGGAUGCCUUUGGAAAAGUUGAAGAUUGAAGAUUUGUAUAUUGAAGAAGAAAUGAUUUCUUUCUAAUGUAUUAGAUAGAUUUUUUGUUAUUGUUUAUUUAAGUAAGGUUGUAAAUUAUUCACAAAUUUUGAUUUAUCAUUUCUAUU